This 510-nucleotide ribosomal RNA is filed under the name uncultured bacterium. Its description in RNAcentral is "bacterial SSU rRNA". It matches the Rfam family "Bacterial small subunit ribosomal RNA", at positions 384 to 896 of the family's 1533-position model. The record is from RNAcentral.
UGACGCAGCGACGCCGCGUGUGGGAUGACGGUCUUCGGAUUGUAAACCACUGUCGGGAGGGACGAAUACGCCGCAAGGCGGGUGACGGUACCUCCAAAGGAAGCACCGGCUAACUCCGUGCCAGCAGCCGCGGUAAUACGGAGGGUGCGAGCGUUGUCCGGAAUCACUGGGCGUAAAGGGCGCGUAGGCGGCCUGAUAAGUAGGGGGUGAAAUCCUGCGGCUUAACCGCAGGGCUGCCUUCUAAACUGUCGGGCUCGAGCACAGUAGAGGCAGGUGGAAUUCCCGGUGUAGCGGUGGAAUGCGUAGAGAUCGGGAAGAACAUCAGUGGCGAAGGCGGCCUGCUGGGCUGUUGCUGACGCUGAGGCGCGACAGCGUGGGGAGCAAACAGGAUUAGAUACCCUGGUAGUCCACGCCGUAAACGAUGGGCACUAGGCGUCGGGGGGAGCGACCCUCCCGGUGCCGUCGCUAACGCAGUAAGUGCCCCGCCUGGGGAGUACGGCCGCAAGGCUG